RNAcentral lists this long non-coding RNA (616 nucleotides) under Coturnix japonica (Japanese quail). RNAcentral describes it as "lncRNA (ENSCJPG00005012439.1)". Lineage: Eukaryota; Metazoa; Chordata; Aves; Galliformes; Phasianidae. The record is from RNAcentral.
UCUCUUUCCUCGAGCCGGGAUGAUUUGUGCUGCUGUGUAAUGAGAGAAAUCCUGCAUCUUUGGCUAUUCAAGGGCCUGAAAUACAGCCUACUGCAGCUGAUAAGGUAUAAUGGAUUUCAGUGAGCUUUAGCACCCCUGAACUGAACACAGCGGAGACCCAGUAUGACUGAAGUUUCCAAGUCCAGCUGUAAGAUAUGGGACCUAACCUGGUAUUUGUAAAUUACAUGUAGUAGAUUGAAGGCAGCAGGCAGCAGGAACCCUUCACAGGCAAGAAAACCCAGGUGUCAAGACCCAAUAAGCACAGUACUUCCAUCAGCUUUCCAGGAGCACGACUGGUUGGAGGUCAUACGUGUUUGUCUUGGUAGGUGUGUAGACAGUAACAGGCACUUGUUGGAUUGACAGGCUUAGUUGAAACACCGUAGUAACACGGUCAGCUUCAUUUGUUUUCUUCCUUCUGAACACAUGGCUAGGAAUAAUAUGUAGUUUCAAGAUUUGGGGUUGUGCUUUUAGCUUGGUUUUUUAGCUUGUUUGUUUGAAUUCUUUUAACGGAGGAAAACAACAUUUGUACAGUGUAGAUACAUUUUGAAAAACCACAAUAAAAUGAAAGAAAAUCACA